UCCCUCUUUCUCUACCUCCCUCCCUCUCUUCUCUAGUCAUCAUCUUCUUGCCAACUCAUUGACUCACAUUGGAGCAUUUGCUGAAGCUAAGCAAAAUAAGAGAAAAGCAUACAAUAUCUAUAGGACUAAAUUUGGCCCAGAUCAUGCACGUACUGUUCAGUCUUAUAAAAAACGUGAGGUAUAUCACUGAAAAGCAAGUCUCUUAUGACCAGACUGAGAAGCAACUGAUGGUGAGACUAGACCUGUAGGAAGAGGAACGGCUACACGUAAUAGAGAAGCAACUGAUGGUGAUACUAGAGCUGUAAGAAGAGGAACAGCUACACGUAAUAGAGAGGCAACUGAUGGUGAUACUAGAGCUGUAAGAAGAGAAACAGCUACACGUAAUAAUGCAGAGAUAGCCGUUACAGUUGAUGGUACAUUAAAGGUCUUCCAGUCCAUUCUCAUUGACUUAAUUGCAGACUUCUUACUAGCUCUUGUUGUUCACAGAGACUCGUGGCAGAUAUAUGAUGCUAUUGUAAUUCAUCCUUGUGAGCCAGGAGUAACUGAAUGGAUCAAUGUCUACAACCUAAAAUGGUGCGUCUUGUAGUGACGGACCAUUUCCUGAUCUUUGUUGGACGGGACAGGGUCACCACUCCCUUGUAUAUCGGGAUUUGUGUAUUUUAAUGGGAUUUAUGGAUAUUUACCGUGCGUCUUGUAGUCACGGAUGCUUGUGUUACAGAAAAUUGGCUACUGGCAAGGACAACCUCAGCCUGACAUGUGUUAAUCAUUUGAUUGUUGACUGUUGAGUUGGGGGACUACUGUUUGUUAUCCAUUGUACCUGUUGAAUGGACACAAUGCAGUAUCAGAACUUACUUGUUCAAGUAAUUAGGUAAUUUUAUCUCCCUUCUCUCAUUCCAGACUUGGUUGCAAUGGAAGUUGAUGUUCUCGUUUUCCUGGUGUAUGGCAGCUUAAGUGAAGCAUGGAUUUCAACAAAUAAGCGAGUAGGAAACUUGCCAUUAUUGAUUCUUCCAGAUAGCACUGCUAUUUUUCCAUUACUAA
This is a long non-coding RNA of Amphimedon queenslandica, 1038 nucleotides long. RefSeq lists it as uncharacterized. Lineage: Eukaryota; Metazoa; Porifera; Demospongiae; Haplosclerida; Niphatidae. The transcript has 12 exons. The record is from RefSeq and is a predicted model, not a curated record.